ACCAGCAGCCAUAUCACUCAGAAACUCACAACGGGCAGCCCACUGAAGCUCAGCAGGUGUGAGCCUGGUCAGUACCUGGAUGGGAGACUCCUGGGAAAAACUAAGGUUGCUGCUGGAA
This is a ribosomal RNA of Lepisosteus oculatus (spotted gar), 118 nucleotides long. Lineage: Eukaryota; Metazoa; Chordata; Actinopteri; Semionotiformes; Lepisosteidae. The record is from Rfam.